AUACGGAGGGUGCAAGCGUUAUUCGGAAUCACUGGGCGUAAAGGACGCGUAGGCGGGUUGGCAAGUCAGAUGUGAAAUCCUACAGCUUAACUGUAGAACUGCAUUUGAAACUGCUAACCUAGAGUAUGGGAGGGGGAGAUGGAAUUAGUGGUGUAGGGGUAAAAUCCGUAGAUAUCACUAGGAAUACCGAAAGCGAAGGCGAUCACCUGGAACAUAACUGACGCUAAGGCGUGAAAGCGUGGGGAGCAAACAGGAUUAGAUACCCUAGUAGUCC
This 274-nucleotide ribosomal RNA is filed under the name uncultured bacterium. RNAcentral describes it as "partial 16S ribosomal RNA". It matches the Rfam family "Bacterial small subunit ribosomal RNA", at positions 523 to 796 of the family's 1533-position model. The record is from RNAcentral.